UGUGUGUACAUGCGUAAUGACACACAUGCUAUUUGUGCUGCUGCAGUUUCCGGCCGGCCGCGCACGACCGCGCCAGCCAGCCAGCCACCACACCACUUUCAAUCGGCUGCCAACGCGCGGCACAGAGUAUUUUUUUUCGAUCCGCGCUGCUCUUUCGAAUCGACUUUGUUUAUAAACUGCGCCAGCCGGCCGAGUGAGCAAUAGUUUCGUCGGCCGUUUCUGCCUUCGUGGAAACCAGGAGAUGUACUCACCUGUGGAGCAAUCGCGGAAGUUUUUUUAUUGGAUUUCAUCAUUAACGAUUGUGUUAAAUUGAUAUGGUUAAUUUUACCGCUGGUUAAUUUGUAAAGACAAACGGCUCAUUUCAAAACUGCAGUGUGCAUUUGAACAGCGAGAUAGACUCAUUUUAUUUUACCACUUCCUGAAAUGCGAUUAAAAUGCUUUUUUAUUUAUGUGAAACCGCAAAGCAAAUAUAAUGUCAACAUGUAUUGCGA
Cloeon dipterum is the source of this 491-nucleotide long non-coding RNA. RefSeq lists it as uncharacterized. The transcript is spliced from 2 exons. The record is from RefSeq and is a predicted model, not a curated record. NCBI's taxonomy places the organism in Eukaryota, Metazoa, Arthropoda, Insecta, Ephemeroptera, Baetidae.